AUGUUUCGGGUUUUAUUGAAUCCGUUUUUACUUUCAGAGAGAACAGGAAGAACCUUUUUGGUGGACAAAGUUGCACAAUCCUUUCAUCACGUUGCUUUGCUCUGUGAAGACCUGUCUUUCAGAACGACUGAAUGCCUCUGUGAAGAGGGCCAAAGGGCAUUCCUUUUUCUGCUUGUAUGUUUCCACACAGAGCAAGACCUCGCUCCACCAGGUGGUGGAUUCUCGUCUACUUCAGACGGAAGCGAGGUGUCGGGAGGUUGUCACAGAUUCAGCUCUGACACAACUGGUCUGCAAGGGCCUUUAAAGACCCAGCCAUCUACUGAAACGCAGGAGGAAGCUGUGGAAAGUCUUCCAGGGCCACCAUCACCUUAGAUAUCCACUUUAAAAUAUACUGUAUCUAUUUGCAGCUUUAUUAAUAAAGAAAAUCUUUUAGUAACUUUAGCCACGAGCUCGGCUGACAUUGUCCUUCCUGCAGGUCGUGUUCAAAAUAAUUUGUUUUCUAAUACUGGUGAUCUGAGCAUAAAUCACUGACUGAUUAAUUCACACAAAAUCUAUUUUCUCAAAAUCACUUAAGCCCUGCAAAAUUAAGAGGGAACUUUAAAGUUUAUUACCUGCGUGUUCACAGCUGCCUGAGAGCAUUAAUGAUGAGGGCUGUUGGUGUGGUCUCUGAUGACCCAGUUUUAUAAAUGAAAGUUGCCAAAGUGCCCUUGUACCGUCUCCUGCUCUCCUCAGUUAUACAUCAGCAUGGGCUGUAAUCCGUAGCUGUUUAUCUGUUGUGUCAUUUUUAUCACAUGCUGUGGAUUACAAUUAAGUUAUACAAUUUCUGAAUUUGAUAUUAAGAAUACUGAAACAAAUGUGGCAAAAAUUAAGAGAAAAUCUUUUUGCCGCUGCUUUCUGGAUCAAAAUAUGUCAUUUUUGUCUUUUACUAACAUUUCGACCACAUAUACAUAUCUGAUGCAUAAACUUUGUGUGUGUGUGUGUGUGUGUGUGUGUGUGUGUGUGUGUGUGUGUGUGUGUGUGUGUGUGUGUGUGUGUGUGUGUGUGUAACCUCCACAGCCUCCAGGUUCACAAGCUGUGCCAGAUUGAUGAUGUUCAGACAGCAGCUGAAAGAGCUGUGAGGGAUUUUAGACAGAGCUCAGAGGGUGACAGCUGAGUUGGGCUGACAUGAACCUUGACCUUACACCUCUUUUGAAUGUCAGCAACCUCGCACAUGUGCACGUUAAAACUCUCUCACACACACAUACACACACAUACAAGGGCGGAAAUCCCAUUUCAAUUUUGGGGGGGACAAUAAACAGUAAAACUUCAGAGAGUAGUCUUUGGGGGGGACAUGAAAAAACAUGCUCUCUACAUACAACACUGUAUGUCCUUAUAAGAGACUGACCUGAGACUCUGUGCCUGUGUCUGACAGGCUCUGGCUGCCUGUGCUCAAGUGACUGGACUUUGCCUAAUUAAACCGUUUAGAAACAAUUUCAUGGGCAUUUCAUUUCUUUCUUAUAGAUGUCUUCAUCAAAAUGCAAGUUUCUACUUACAUGACGUUCUGGAGCAUUAAAAAAACGACCUGAUGUCUGCCGUUUUUCGUUUCUCUGCCAUUUCAACUGACCUGGUCUGCAGACAGUUGGACAGCAACACACACACAGAUGGGAUAUUGUCAUUAGAACGGAGCUGGAGGAUCAAUAUCUUGCCAAUUUUGUACAUCUCCAUAAGCAUCAUUUCUUUUUGUUGUCAUUUCAAUAACAAGACUGUGGCCUAAAUCGGAAUAAGCAAUUCAGAAUAAAGAUUUUAAAGUAGAUUGUUAAUAGUUGAAGCAACAUGUCCUGAAAUGACAUGGCUAUUAGCUGACCAGCAGCUACACAUGUGGACGGAUGCAAAGCAUUAAUUUUAAGUAGUAAAACAUAUCUAACUUUUUCACAACAAAGAGAGAGAACAUAAAAAGUCAAAUUAAAAUUUUAUUAAAUCACAUAACAUGAAAGCUACUAAAAUCCAAAUAGUUCCAUAUUGAUUUUAAUAUAUUUGAAAUUUUCCUUCUAAAUAUGGCUAGAAAAAAUAACAACCUCCAAAUCAGCUUUCACAAGUCAAGUAUCAAAAUGACUGAAAUCUCUAAUAAAUCAUAGAAAUGUUUGUAGACUAUUAGAGAAUAACUCUGUAAUAUUUAAUAACUAUCUAAGUCCUACUGAACGAAAAGCUACACAAAAUCUAAAAAUAUAUUCUUGAAAUAUUUGUUUCAUUUUAAUAAUAGAAAUUAAAAACAUUUACUUUACAAAUACACUAAACAUAUACAUACUCUAUAGUUUAUCUCUCAGUUUAAUCGAUCUCUCACUUUUCUCAGUUUUCAUAGUGUUUUGGGGUCUGUGUGGCCAACGGGAUCUUUGGCACUGAGAGCUUUGAGCAACGUGCCUCCACCACACAUUUGCUGCAACCAGUUCAUCCCUAAGCUGCACGGUGCACCUGCACUUUGACAUAUUGUAAACAUCUGCAGAGCCUGGGGAAGACGGGAUAAGAGCGGUUAAACGCUGUGGUUUUCCGUACAUCGGACCAGUUAGUUUUGAUUCUACCAUAUUCAUCUGCUAAAUAGGAUGAAACGCGGACAUUUUCAUUGAUCUAUAAAUGCUCCGCAGAUUCCAGGGGCAGACCGUGAAAGCGUACGUGUCUGGAAAAAGGAACUUUUGAUCACCUUAGUGAAUGGAAUAACAGUAGCGGAAUAAUCCUGGACUGACCAGAGAACAUGAAGUGACCACUUUUUUUUUUUACUGCGGUGGUGGUGGUCUGUCGUAAAGGGAUCUCCGACCGGUGAUCAAAAUCUAAAGAUAAUUGGUGUCUAUGUUUGACAUUUAUGACCACAUUUGACACACAUAUUCAAGUUUGUAGAACAAGCGUGUGAUAAAUGACUUACUGCUGGAAACCGCUGGCUUUUUGAUUCCCGCCUCCUGUGAGCCUGCGGGCUGCUGUGAAGCUGUGAGCGGGGCAGAGCCGG
RNAcentral lists this long non-coding RNA (2974 nucleotides) under Nothobranchius furzeri (turquoise killifish). Its description in RNAcentral is "lncRNA (ENSNFUG00015024622.1)". The record is from RNAcentral. Lineage: Eukaryota; Metazoa; Chordata; Actinopteri; Cyprinodontiformes; Nothobranchiidae.